UACCGAAUACGAGCCUCCUGGGCAUCCAGGAGGUUGGAAAGUUCUUCGGUCAGGGAUGGACCCGCGGCCUAUCAGCUUGUUGGUGAGGUAACGGCUCACCAAGGCGACGACGGGUAGCCGGCCUGAGAGGGCGACCGGCCACACUGGGACUGAGACACGGCCCAGACUCCUACGGGAGGCAGCAGUGGGGAAUAUUGCGCAAUGGGCGAAAGCCUGACGCAGCAACGCCGCGUGAGGGAAGACGGCCUUCGGGUUGUAAACCUCUUUCAGCAGGGAAGAAGCGAAAGUGACGGUACCUGCAGAAGAAGCACCGGCUAACUACGUGCCAGCAGCCGCGGUAAUACGUAGGGUGCAAGCGUUGUCCGGAUUUAUUGGGCGUAAAGAGCUCGUAGGCGGUCAGUCACGUCGGAUGUGAAAACCCGGGGCUUAACCCCGGGCCUGCAUUCGAUACGGGCUGACUAGAGUGUUGUAGGGGAGACUGGAACUCCUGGUGUAGCGGUGAAAUGCGCAGAUAUCAGGAAGAACACCGGUGGCGAAGGCGGGUCUCUGGGCAACUACUGACGCUGAGGAGCGAAAGCGUGGGGAGCGAACAGGAUUAGAUACCCUGGUAGUCCACGCCGUAAACGGUGGGCGCUAGGUGUGGGGAACAUUCCACGUUCUCCGUGCCGCAGCUAACGCAUUAAGCGC
This 687-nucleotide ribosomal RNA is filed under the name uncultured bacterium. Its description in RNAcentral is "bacterial SSU rRNA". It matches the Rfam family "Bacterial small subunit ribosomal RNA", at positions 167 to 867 of the family's 1533-position model. The record is from RNAcentral.